ACCUGCGGAAAAGGGCGCCUCUUGCCCGACAGUCGGGCACUUGCCCGAAAGUAACACAGACACGUGUACUUGUUUUUAUUUGUCGUGCCAGUCCUCCAUCUGGGAUUGAGGAGGAAGCUGCUGAAAAUGGUGUUCCUAAACCAGUAACAUAAGGCUUUGGAAUUCAGUCGCUUCCGUAUUUAAAAUCUGUAGAUUUCUAGCUAAGAAGAAAGUCUACAUUCAGCUAGACUUUGGAGUAUCCUGCACAAUCUCGCUGUCAGAAAGUGACUGAAACUGAAUAUGAUAGUGACAGUGAUGAUGAUGAGGAUGAUGUUCAUGUCACUAUCGGAGACAUUAUAACGGGAGCACCACAAUAUGGCCCCGGUAGUGAAGAUUCUUCUAUCUCACCAUGGAGCCCUUAAACCUUGUGUAAGAGAUUACUAAGACGUUACAGGAGUUACGGAAAAGCACCAGUGAAUCUUAAUAUCAAGACAGGAGGAAGAGUUUAUGGAACUACAGGAACAAAAGUCAAAGGGGUAGAGCUCGAUGCACCUAGAAGUAUUAAUGGAGUUCCACUCUUGGAGGUAGAUUUGGAUUCUUUUGAAGAUAAACCAUGGUGUGAACCUGGCGCGGACCUUUCUGAUUAUUUAAUUAUGGGUUUAACGAAGAUACCUGGAACGCUUACUGUGAAAAACAAAAAAGGAUACGAAUGGGGCUUGAAGUUAUAGCAGUUACCUCAAUUACAAAUAUAUUUAUGGUAAUUAGUAAACAUUUCAAAAUACUCCUGUCUUUUCUAUUUUCUAUUCACUUUUUUUCCCUAAUCACUUUUUCCCCAUAAAGGUGAUUAAAUACUG
Sorex fumeus (smoky shrew) is the source of this 833-nucleotide long non-coding RNA. RefSeq lists it as uncharacterized. The record is from RefSeq and is a predicted model, not a curated record. The transcript has 6 exons. NCBI's taxonomy places the organism in Eukaryota, Metazoa, Chordata, Mammalia, Eulipotyphla, Soricidae.